Sorghum bicolor (sorghum) is the source of this 133-nucleotide small nucleolar RNA. It matches the Rfam family "Small nucleolar RNA Z247". From Rfam's summary of the family: Z247 is a member of the C/D class of snoRNA which contain the C (UGAUGA) and D (CUGA) box motifs. The record is from Rfam. NCBI's taxonomy places the organism in Eukaryota, Viridiplantae, Streptophyta, Magnoliopsida, Poales, Poaceae.
GCCCGAUCCCAGAUGAAGAGCUGGUCACGUUCAUCCUGGCGGGGCUCGACUUCGACUACAACCCACUGGUGUCAUCAGUGCUUGGACGCGUUCCAGCGAUCAUCCUGAGCGAACUAUAUGCUCAGAUGAUUGC